RNAcentral lists this small nucleolar RNA (107 nucleotides) under Sorghum bicolor (sorghum). Its description in RNAcentral is "Plant small nucleolar RNA R71". It matches the Rfam family "Plant small nucleolar RNA R71". Rfam says of the family: R71 is a member of the C/D box family of snoRNAs containing the C (UGAUGA) and D (CUGA) box motifs. Multiple nearly identical copies of this snoRNA have been identified in Arabidopsis, and it is thought to function as a 2'-O-ribose methylation guide for 18S ribosomal RNA. Lineage: Eukaryota; Viridiplantae; Streptophyta; Magnoliopsida; Poales; Poaceae. The record is from Rfam by way of RNAcentral.
AUUCCAUGAUGGGGACAUUCUAGGAUGUAGUCUUGGAAGUGCUCCCAUGCUUUUGAAACGGAUUCAUCAUGUUGUUGCUGAAAACUUGUAAUCUUCCCACGGAGAGC